Molecule: unclassified non-coding RNA, 300 nt
Filed under: uncultured fungus
Lineage: Eukaryota; Fungi
Description: partial contains small subunit ribosomal RNA, internal transcribed spacer 1, and 5.8S ribosomal RNA
Rfam family: Eukaryotic small subunit ribosomal RNA (bases 1-73)
Source: RNAcentral
GCAAACUUGGUCAUUUAGAGGAAGUAAAAGUCGUAACAAGGUUUCCGUAGGUGAACCUGCGGAAGGAUCAUUAAUGAAAACACUCAGAAGUUGUUGCUGGCCUUCGGGCAUUGUGCACGCUUCGUUUUUCAUCCACCCCACACCUGUGCACUUUAUUUUUGAAAGGAGGAGUGAUCUUCCUUUCAAACAUUUUACACACUCUUGUAAAACUCAUAGAAUGUCAAUUGUUUGUAACAUAUAACAAACUUAACAACUUUCAACAACGGAUCUCUUGGCUCUCGCAUCGAUGAAGAACGCAGC